AAUACUUCUCGGCCUAUUGGCUAUGAUCAAGUGUAGUAUCUGUUCUUAUCAGCUUUAAACACUUGGAUGCCAUCUUUUUGUGAUUCAUGGACGAGGACUCCCAAAUCCCUCUAUUCUGUAACUGUCUACAGUCUUUCUCCAUUUAAAUAAUAUUUAGCUCCUCUAUUCUUGCUGCCAAAAUGCUUAACCACCCAUU
This is a small nuclear RNA of Rhincodon typus (whale shark), 196 nucleotides long. RefSeq annotates it as U2 spliceosomal RNA. The record is from RefSeq and is a predicted model, not a curated record. Lineage: Eukaryota; Metazoa; Chordata; Chondrichthyes; Orectolobiformes; Rhincodontidae. The transcript has a single exon.